RNAcentral lists this ribosomal RNA (301 nucleotides) under uncultured bacterium. RNAcentral describes it as "partial 16S ribosomal RNA". It matches the Rfam family "Bacterial small subunit ribosomal RNA", at positions 509 to 807 of the family's 1533-position model. The record is from RNAcentral.
CAGUCGCCGCGGUAAUACAGAGGGUGCAAGCGUUAAUCGGAAUUACUGGGCGUAAAGCGCGCGUAGGUGGUUUGUUAAGUUGGAUGUGAAAGCCCCGGGCUCAACCUGGGAACUGCAUCCAAAACUGGCAAGCUAGAGUACGGUAGAGGGUGGUGGAAUUUCCUGUGUAGCGGUGAAAUGCGUAGAUAUAGGAAGGAACACCAGUGGCGAAGGCGGCCCCCUGGACAAAGACUGACGCUCAGGUGCGAAAGCGUGGGGAGCAAACAGGAUUAGAUACCCGUGUAGUCCCUGUCUCUUAUAC